This 1611-nucleotide long non-coding RNA is filed under the name Lathyrus oleraceus (garden pea). RNAcentral describes it as "Pisum sativum (pea) long non-coding RNA (PSAT_LNC034880)". Lineage: Eukaryota; Viridiplantae; Streptophyta; Magnoliopsida; Fabales; Fabaceae. The record is from RNAcentral.
UUUGUUGAAGUUGUAUGGUUUAAAAUGAUAUAUGAUGGAAGUUUCGUCUUAAUGAUGCAGUUUCUCAUAUUGGUGAGUCAUUUUUGAUUGGUUAUAAUGGUAAUUGUGUUUGAAUCUCAACAAACUCUGGUACCUAGAUAUAAUUGGUAUUGCUCUAAAUUUCAAAAAGAAAAUAUUUUUGUUGCUACAUAUAGUUUAGAACUAGUUAACAAUAAGUGUUAUUUAUUGUGAACUUUCUCGUCAUUGUUGUUCAUUAUUUUUUUUGUUUUUAAUUGACUAGUUUCAUGUAUAAGCAUUUACUUGAGUGUUGGUUAAUUGUUCGAUUACAUUGAGCAGUUUUUACAAAAUUAUAAGCUAUAUUACUUUCAGGAAAGUUCGGGUAAGUUCAACAUUGACUAUUGUGGAAGAUAAAUAUGACAUCUAUAGAGGUGAAAGAGGUGGUUUAGUAGUACCGCAUAAAAACUAUUAGAUGAAAUUUCUCAACCACUUCAUCACUUAUUCUUGACUAUACUCUUCUAGACAUCUAAGAUUGCAUGUGAUUGAUGACUUUAUGUUUUCUUAUUCGUCGUCCUUCCAUGUCUACAUUCAUAUUUAUUUCUUCAUAUAUAUAUAUAUUUGUUCGUUCGUUCAUUUUUGAUUUUGUUAACGGUGAUUGUUUGUUGCUAACCUUUGUUAUUUAAAUCCAUUCUGAUUUUGUUCAUUUCUUUUUUCAGUGAUGUCAUAAUGGAAGCUAACCAAUGUUCUUGAAAUGAAAGCCUCUAUUUCCUUUUUCCUUUUGAUUUUAUUACUUCCUAUACUUCAAUAUCUUGCCACAUUAAUGCAUUACUCUAUGCACUCUGCAUUCUCUGUACUCUGUCUCUAAUGAAAAACAAUUGUUCAAAAGGUAUGCUUACAGAUAACACAAUCACUAUAUGCUUAUAAAUUAUUUGUUUAGAAUUUAGAUGAAGUAAUCACGAUAUGGAGAUAACACGUAUGAUGCAUUUAAUCACUUUUAUUAUAAAGUUGUGACAUGGUGGGGUUGGGGGACGGCAUUCAUUUAAGUGUUUAAGGCCCAUCAAAAUGAUAAAAAUAGUGAUACUUUUGUUAGCUUCUUGUGAGAACAUUUAAUAAGAAACAGCAUGAGAGGUUUGAAAAACUUGUGUAAUAAUAAUAAUAAUUGGUAUAUUAAAAUAAUAUAUAUAUUGUUUGUCUAAGAAAGAGUUAUUGUUUUAGGGGUUAUGUCUUCAGAAUAUUGUAUAGUAAAGAUGGUGUCAGCUUGGUGGUUUUGUGAGGUGAAAAUACUUAUUAAGCCCUUUAUAUUAUGGACUCUAUUAAGUGAACCUUUUUUUACCUAAAUUCCCUUAUUUUAUUUUAUUGAGAAUUUCUUAACGCACCCUAGAUAUUUCUAAUGCACAACGUAAAUUUUCACAAAUGUCCCCUAUUUUUGAAAAUACAUCUCGAAGCACUUAAUGCACACUCAAGCAAGGCCAUUAUGUGAGGCACCAUGUAUGUUGGGUUAAUUUAUCCUAACUAACUCCUAACUGUUUACUGUUUGUGAAUUUCAAGCAAAUUUAGAUGUGAAUUUAAUUGAAAUUUAGAGUGGAUUUCUAACUUAUUUUGGGAUAGGAAAUG